UGGGGCCUGCUCCUCUGAUCACUUCCGGUCGAGGGGGGGGAGCGUGAGCGCACGCACAUGCGCACUGAGCGGGUGACUUGAGAUGGGCGCAUCCAGGGCGCUCCCUGCUCUGCUUCGCCGGGAGGCUGACUCCUAUGGUGCUCAUGCUCCCCCUUGGCUGUCCGCAUCUCCGAAGAGGGUUCUUCUGUUGAACCCUCUAACAAGAGACCGAGGAGGAACUGAAGUCAUUUCCCCUCUAAUCUUCAGCGGGGAGGGACUUCCCAUCAAAAGAGCCGAUCCUUUCUGCGUGCCACGGAGCAGGUACUAAGCAAUCUAGAGAGAUGAGAGAAGGAUCAAGUCCAGCUGCUAUCAAAUCUCUUGUGACCGUUAACCUGAGUGUUUUCAUGGGGGAAAAGCAUGAGACACGACACACACCUGUGCCUAACGACUAAUGAAGACUCGUUUCCUGGAGACGAUAAUUCUGGAAAAGGAGGAGCCUCUGCAGCCGUGAGCCCUUGUCAUUCCUGGGGUUGAAGGGGGGGAUGACCUGGACCACUUUAAACACAGAGAGAUCAUGAGCGGGAUCAUAAGGGUAUACAAAAAAUAAAAAGGAUUAUUUCGAUUCUGGUUUUCGAGAUCAGGAGGGAGGCUGCCAUAGCAAUAUAUAGGAGGCAUUAGGGAGAGGAGGAACAAAGCCCAGACAGUUUAGGGCCCCAAAAUGAAGCUCUGAUCUAUCAAUGGGACACAGAGUUUUGAGGGUGUACCCUGGACGAGCUUGACUGAAAAGAGCCGUUUCUGUCUCUGCCAGUGAAAAAAUCCAGGUGGUGUGAAGGGCUUUGUGUUUUAUUGUUUGCUCUUCCUUACAGUCUAGCCUUUAUGUGGGUUUGUCCUCCUAGAGGGGCAAACAAACAUCUAAUCACCACAGUGCUCUCACACAUAGCUUUUGAAGACUCCCCGCCGAGCAGAAAUAAAUGCUGCCGGUUUGGGGUUUUGCGAGCCACGCGGCUGGCAAAUCCUCUGGCGUCCUGUCCUGGCUCGAAGGCAGGUGCAGCUGGACCUUGAGCCCGGAGUCGGUAACUACAGCAGCUCUCGGAGCCCGGCUCCACGCUGGCUGCAGUUACCUGAUCUCACUCGGAGUUCUAUGUUUUCGCCAACGUAAGAUGACCUCAAACUAAAUCCAAGACGCAUUUCAACAGCACGGUGAUUCUGGAUGCUUGCCCGCCACGCAUGUGCCCCAUUUGGGUCCUGGACAGUGAGGGCUCCCUGGAAAUGGCCCUCUGCAUCUGGUCCCUGACCUUGCUCUCGAGCCACUGAGGAGAGAGGCGGACAAGUCGGAUCCCAGCUGACUUCUGUGUGGAUGCCAUCUGUGAGUAGCUUGCAUAUUCCUGCCAUGGUCCUCGACACGCCUCGCGCAGGCGAGCACUCCCAGGGUCCUCUGUAUUCCCGCGUGUGCAAAGC
Long non-coding RNA from Ailuropoda melanoleuca (giant panda), 1437 nucleotides. RefSeq lists it as uncharacterized. The transcript has 3 exons. Lineage: Eukaryota; Metazoa; Chordata; Mammalia; Carnivora; Ursidae. The record is from RefSeq and is a predicted model, not a curated record.